UCUAAGUUCGGAGUCCUGCCUGAUGUAAUAUUUUUCGCUUACGUUCGCGCAAAAUCCAUCAUGCUGCCUCGCGAUGCUGCCUCCCCUCCCUUCCGUCGCUGCGGCCGGCGUCCAGUCUGCAGCUUCUGGAGUAUAAUGAAUCUAAGACUGCUGCUGCUGAUCCGGAGGGUGAUUCCAAUGAGCUGAAUAGAGAAGACAAAGCCAGCUAGAAAAAAGAGCCCGAUCUCAAUGGUGCUUUGAAAAGGUGACCAGCCAUGAUUAGCAGCCAUGAAUCAUGGCUGCAAUUGAAUAUUAGAAGACAGGAAAUGCUUUGAAAAGGUAAGCAGCCAUUAAGACAAAGCCAGCUAGAAAGAAGAGCCCGAUCUCAAUGCUGCUUUGAAAAGGUGAGCAGCCAUGAAUCAUGGUUGCAAUUGAAUAUUAGAAGACAGGAAAUGCUUUGAAAAGAAAAACGAAUUGAGAUCUCUCUUACCCAUAAGUCUUCUUCACAAUGGCUUUUUCACUGGCUGUCAUAAGAAUGAGGACAGCACGCAUAGCAGUUUUAGCUGGAGAUGUCAGCGCAAGGUUCCUUCAUAUCUUCAUAAGUUGGUUUUCACUCAAGAAUUCAUGGCAGCUUUACGAACAAUAACAAUGAAAGAGAACGAGAUUAAAAAGGCUACUUCUCUGCUAGAAGUGGUUCACUGCAGCGAUGAUUUGCAUGAGAUACCCAUAGAUAUGAUACGAGCGAAAUGCAGACUUGACAAAAUAAAAAUAAAUUUUGCUUAGUUUGGACCUCCCUGUAACUAUGGAUCAUAUUUUCUUUUGUGAAUGCCCAAGGCUCCCUUGAGCAGGGUUUCCGUGACAGCUAAAUUUUUGUUGGUAACAUACAAAACAAACACAGGCAAAUUGGGAAUGCUGGUCUUGGUAGAAAACAGAAGGAAGUUGUUGAUGCGAAGCAUUCUUCUGCUUGAGUCCUGAAUAUCUCUAUAAUUGGAGAAAAGCUAAAAUCCAAGAUGGUAGAUAUUAAGAUGCCAAAAAAGAGAGUUGACAAAAAAUUGGUGCAAGAUAAAUGAGUAUUAUAGCAGGAUGGGGAAGAAAUCUUAAUAUAGGAGGGCAGCUUUUUUUUCCUUUUUCUUUUUUUAAAUAUUCGGAUGACUUCAUAAAAGCAUGAGAAUAAAUGUUGAAGGUUUGCGGAAACUAAUCCUUGGUUUUGCCAUCGUUGGCUCAGAAUAGAUUAGUGAAUUUUUCUUUAUUAUAUGAA
Phalaenopsis equestris is the source of this 1237-nucleotide long non-coding RNA. RefSeq lists it as uncharacterized. NCBI's taxonomy places the organism in Eukaryota, Viridiplantae, Streptophyta, Magnoliopsida, Asparagales, Orchidaceae. The record is from RefSeq and is a predicted model, not a curated record. The transcript has 5 exons.